ACUUGGCUACUGAGUCCCAAAUAGGACGAAACGCGCGUCCUGGAU
Molecule: non-coding RNA, 45 nt
Organism: Schistosoma haematobium
Lineage: Eukaryota; Metazoa; Platyhelminthes; Trematoda; Strigeidida; Schistosomatidae
Source: Rfam